This 288-nucleotide long non-coding RNA is filed under the name Canis lupus dingo (dingo). RNAcentral's name for it is "lncRNA (ENSCAFG00020009805.1)". Lineage: Eukaryota; Metazoa; Chordata; Mammalia; Carnivora; Canidae. The record is from RNAcentral.
AGUUGGAGAUUAGAGGCUGAGGCCGUUGCUGGCAUUCCAUCGGAAUACAUGGGGCAAGCUGAUCUGGUCAAGAUGUGUCAUGUGGAUCACAGGAGCUAGAAGAGCAGGAUAACGAGAUCAGCAUAACAACAGCGACGUCCGGGUGUCCGUGGCCACACUUCGAGCAGCUUGUACACCUAUUGUACACCUAUUGCACAAAAGGGUCCAGGGGCUGGAGAUCCAGCAGAGGGAAAUGAAGUACAGUGGGUGAGUCGAGGUCAUCAUACAAGGAAGUCUUCCUGGUGAAGU